UCCAGACUCCUACGGGAGGCAGCAGUGGGGGAUAUUGCACAAUGGGGGGAACCCUGAUGCAGCGACGCCGCGUGGGUGAAGGAGCGUUUCGGCGCGUAAAGCCCUAUCGGCAGGGAAGAAGGAGGACGGUACCUGACUAAGAAGCCCCGGCUAACUACGUGCCAGCAGCCGCGGUAAUACGUAGGGGGCAAGCGUUAUCCGGAUUUACUGGGUGUAAAGGGGGCGCAGACGGCAGCGCAAGCCAGGAGUGAAAGCCCGGGGCCCAACCCCGGGACUGCUCUUGGAACUGCGCGGCUGGAGUGCAGGAGGGGCAGGCGGAAUUCCUGGUGUAGCGGUGAAAUGCGUAGAUAUCAGGAGGAACACCGGUGGCGAAGGCGGCCUGCUGGACUGCGACUGACGUUGAGGCCCGAAAGCGUGGGGAGCAAACAGGAUUAGAUACCCCUGUAGUA
Molecule: ribosomal RNA, 449 nt
Filed under: uncultured bacterium
Lineage: Bacteria
Description: partial 16S ribosomal RNA
Rfam family: Bacterial small subunit ribosomal RNA
Source: RNAcentral